GCGCGGUGGUCCCACCUGACCCCAUGCCGAACUCAGAAGUGAAACGCCGUAGCGCCGAUGGUAGUGUGGGGCUUCCCCAUGUGAGAGUAGGGA
RNAcentral lists this ribosomal RNA (93 nucleotides) under Pectobacterium carotovorum subsp. carotovorum. Lineage: Bacteria; Pseudomonadati; Pseudomonadota; Gammaproteobacteria; Enterobacterales; Pectobacteriaceae. The record is from RNAcentral.